CAGUCGCCGCGGGAAUACGAAGGGUGCAAGCGUUAAUCGGAAUUACUGGGCGUAAAGCGUGCGUAGGCGGUGAGUUAAGUCUGCUGUGAAAUCCCCGGGCUUAACCUGGGAACUGCAUUUGUGACUGGCGGGCUAGAGUAUGGCAGAGGGGGGUAGAAUUCCGCGUGUAGCAGUGAAAUGCGUAGAUAUGCGGAGGAACACCGAUGGCGAAGGCAAUCCCCUGGGCCUGCACUGACGCUCAUGCACGAAAGCGUGGGAGCAAACAGGAUUAGAUACCCGUGUAGUCCCUGUCUCUUAUACA
This 301-nucleotide ribosomal RNA is filed under the name uncultured bacterium. Its description in RNAcentral is "partial 16S ribosomal RNA". It matches the Rfam family "Bacterial small subunit ribosomal RNA", at positions 509 to 808 of the family's 1533-position model. The record is from RNAcentral.